This 2898-nucleotide ribosomal RNA is filed under the name Bacteroidales bacterium OttesenSCG-928-J19. RNAcentral's name for it is "23S ribosomal RNA". It matches the Rfam family "Bacterial large subunit ribosomal RNA". The record is from RNAcentral. Lineage: Bacteria; Pseudomonadati; Bacteroidota; Bacteroidia; Bacteroidales.
AUAAGUAAAAGAAAGGGCAGACGGUGGAUGCCUUGGCUCUUGGAGGCGAAGAAGGACGUGAUAAGCUGCGAUAAGCUCGGGCGAGGUGCAAAUAACCGCAUGAACCUGAGAUUUCCGAAUGGGGCAACCCGGUAGAGAAACCUCUACCAUACCCUUAUAGGGUAGGCUAACGUGGGGAACUGAAACAUCUAAGUACCCAUAGGAAAAGAAAAUAAUAAUGAUUCCCGAAGUAGUGGCGAGCGAACCGGGAAUAGCCCAAACCAUGUUUGUUUAGGCAAAUAUGGGGUUGUAGGACUGCGCUGUAGCAAGACUUUAUGAAAGUAGAACUGUCUGGAAAGUCAGGCCGUAGAGAGUGAAAGCCUCGUAUACGACUUUAUAAAUAAGCUUAGCAGUAUCCUGAGUAGGGCGGGACACGUGAAAUCCUGUCUGAAUCUGCGGGGCCCAUCCCGUAAGGCUAAAUACUCCCAAGAGACCGAUAGCGAACCAGUACCGUGAGGGAAAGGUGAAAAGAACCUCGAACAGAGGAGUGAAAUAGACCCUGAACCCGUCUGCCUACAAGCGGUCGGAGCACCUAUAUGGUGUGACGGCGUGCCUUUUGCAUAAUGAACCUACGAGUUACUUUUGUUGGCAAGGUUAAGUGAUUCAGUCACGGAGCCGAAGCGAAAGCGAGUCUGAAUAGGGCGCCAUAGUCAGCAGGAGUAGACGCGAAACCAAGUGAUCUACCCAUGUGCAGGUUGAAGGUUAGGUAACACUAACUGGAGGACCGAACCCGUAAACGUUGAAAAGUUUUGGGAUGACGUGUGGGUAGGGGUGAAAGGCUAAUCAAACUUGGAGAUAGCUCGUACUCCCCGAAAUGCAUUUAGGUGCAGCCUCUGUUAAGUUUUGUGUCAGGUAGAGCGACUGAUUGGAUGCGAGGGCUUCGCCGCCUAUCAAGUCCAGACAAACUCCGAAUGGGCACAAAAUUAUUGCAGGGAGUGAGGGCAUGGGUGCUAAGGUCCAUGUCCGAGAGGAGAAGAAUCCGGACCAUCGUCUAAGGUCCCGAAAUCUAUGCUAAGUUGCAUUAACGAAGUCUGGUUACAUAGACAGCUAGGAUGUUGGCUUGGAAGCAGCCAUUCAUUUAAAGAGUGCGUAACAGCUCACUAGUCGAGUGACCGGGCGUGGAUAAUACUCGGGCAUAAGCAUAGUACCGAAGACAUGGAUUCAUAAUUAAAUUUAUGAGUGGUAGGGGAGCAUUCUUGUCGGCGUAGAAGGUAGAUGGUGAUGUCUGCUGGAGCGGCAAGAAAAGCAAAUGUAGGUAUAAGUAACGAUAAUGCGGGCGAGAAACCCGCACGCCGAAAGACCAAGGUUUCCUGAUCAACGUUAAUCGGAUCAGGGUAAGUCGGGCCCUAAGGUUAAGCCGAACGGCGAUACCGAUGGACGAACCGGUUAAUAUUCCGGUACUACUAUAUAGAGAGAAGUGGGGACGGAGAAGUGACACUACCGCCAGCUGACGGAAUAGCUGGUUAAAGGGUGUAGACGUUGAUCGUGGCAGGCAAAUCCACCGCGAGAGUCGAACCUGAUAGUACCUAGAGUGCAUGCACGACGGGAUAGUGUAGGUAAGCAGGCUCCCAAGAAAAUCCGCUAUCGUUAAUUUAUAUAGUAUCCGUACUGUAAACCGACACAGGUGGUUGAGUAGAAUAUACUAAGGCGCUCGAGUGAUUCAUGGUUAAGGAAUUAGGCAAAAUGGUCCUGUAACUUCGGGAUAAAGGACGCUCUCCUUACGGAGAGCCGCAGAGAAUAGGAGAAGGCGACUGUUUAUCAAAAACACAUGGCUGUGCAAAAUUAUCAAGAUGACGUAUACAGCCUGACACCUGCCCGGUGCUGGAAGGUUAAGAGGAGAAGUCAUACAUUAAGUAGAAGCUUUGAAUUGAAGCCCCAGUAAACGGCGGCCGUAACUAUAACGGUCCUAAGGUAGCGAAAUUCCUUGUCGGGUAAGUUCCGACCUGCACGAAUGGUGUAACGAUCUUCUCACUGUCUCAACCAUGAGCUCGGUGAAAUUGUAGUAUCGGUGAAGAUGCCGAUUACCCGCAACGGGACGAAAAGACCCCGUGAACCUUUACUAUAGCUUUACAUUGGACUUGGGCAAUUGAUGUGUAGGAUAGGCCGGAGGCUAUGAAGUCGGGACGCUAGUUUCGGUGGAGCCGUCGUUGAAAUACGGCCCUUUAAUUGUUUGAGUCCUAACUCCUGGAUAGGAGGACACUGUAUGGUGGGUAGUUUGACUGGGGUGGUCGCCUCCAAAAGAGUAACGGAGGCUUCUAAAGGUGCGCUCAGGCCGAUUGGUAACCGGUCGUAGAGUGUAAUGGUAUAAGCGCGCUUGACUGAGAGACCUACAAGUCGAUCAGGUAGGAAACUAGAGCAUAGUGAUCCGGUGGUUUCAGUAUGGAAUGGCCAUCGCUCAAAGGAUAAAAGGUACUCCGGGGAUAACAGGCUGAUCAUUCCCAAGAGCUCAUAUCGACGGAAUGGUUUGGCACCUCGAUGUCGGCUCGUCACAUCCUGGGGCUGGAGAAGGUCCCAAGGGUUGGGCUGUUCGCCCAUUAAAGUGGCACGCGAGCUGGGUUCAGAACGUCGUGAGACAGUUCGGUCUCUAUCUGUUGUGGGCGUAGGAGAUUUGAGGGGCUCUGACACUAGUACGAGAGGACCGUGUUGGACAGACCUCUGGUGAACCGGUUGUCGCGCCAGCGGCAUGGCCGGGUAGCUAAGUUUGGAUCGGAUAACUGCUGAAAGCAUCUAAGUAGGAAGCCGGCCUCAAGAUUAGAUCUCCCUAUAGGGUGGUUGUAGACUACGACCUUGAUAGGCUGUAGGUGUAAAGGCGGUGACGUCAUAGCCAAGCAGUACUAAUUACCCGAACGAUACUUAUUG